CUUAAUAUCUGAUAUGACCUCCAUCGGAGGUCAAGAUAUUAAUCUUAUUUUUUUCCCAGGGCGGAGAGACUGAAGCUUGCUUCACCUCCGCCAAGGGUUGGC
RNAcentral lists this small nuclear RNA (102 nucleotides) under Cynortula granulata. RNAcentral's name for it is "partial U2 snRNA". It matches the Rfam family "U2 spliceosomal RNA", at positions 53 to 155 of the family's 192-position model. Rfam says of the family: U2 is a small nuclear RNA (snRNA) component of the spliceosome (involved in pre-mRNA splicing). Complementary binding between U2 snRNA (in an area lying towards the 5' end but 3' to hairpin I) and the branchpoint sequence (BPS) of the intron results the bulging out of an unpaired adenosine, on the BPS, which initiates a nucleophilic attack at the intronic 5' splice site, thus starting the first of two transesterification reactions that mediate splicing. Lineage: Eukaryota; Metazoa; Arthropoda; Arachnida; Opiliones; Cosmetidae. The record is from RNAcentral.